RNAcentral lists this unclassified non-coding RNA (344 nucleotides) under soil metagenome. Its description in RNAcentral is "partial contains 5.8S ribosomal RNA, internal transcribed spacer 2, and large subunit ribosomal RNA". The stretch from base 1 to 120 matches the Rfam family "5.8S ribosomal RNA", at positions 35 to 154 of the family's 154-position model. The record is from RNAcentral.
GAUGAAGAACGUAGCGAAAUGCGAUAAGUAAUGUGAAUUGCAGAAUUCAGUGAAUCAUCGAAUCUUUGAACGCACAUUACGCCCGCCAGUAUUCUGGCGGGCAUGCCUGUUCGAGCGUCAUUUCAACCCUCAAGCCCCCGGGCUUGGUGUUGGGGAUCGGCGUGCCCUCGCGGCGCGCCGUCCCCUAAAUCUAGUGGCGGUCUCGCUGUAGCUUCCUCUGCGUAGUAGCAACACUCGCACUGGAUCGCAGCGCGGCCACGCCGUUAAACCCCCCACUUCUGAAAGUUUGACCUCGGAUCAGGUAGGAAUACCCGCUGAACUUAAGCAUAUCAAUAAGCGGAGGA